This is a long non-coding RNA of Mesocricetus auratus (golden hamster), 3580 nucleotides long. RefSeq lists it as uncharacterized. The record is from RefSeq and is a predicted model, not a curated record. NCBI's taxonomy places the organism in Eukaryota, Metazoa, Chordata, Mammalia, Rodentia, Cricetidae. The transcript has 2 exons.
UCCAGUUUAGGAACCAAUGAGUGUUUAUUUGGGUUCCUAACAAGAAUCUGGGUGAGGCAGGGUUGGCUCCAAAGCAGCACCACUGAGAAGCCCAUCAGCUGUGACUCCUGAGAGAGAGCCCGAGUGCUGAAGCCCUCGCACGCACGGCUAAAGGAAGCGCAGGACAUCCAAGCCUCCCUCUGCUGCUCAGCCCCUGCUUCCCGUCUCCUGGUCGGGUUCCUCCCCCAGCAAGUGCUCUCAGCGUCUGCAAUCUUGGAGAGGGAGCCCUCAUGACUCUUGGAUGAUACAUCAGCAGUGAAUCCCGGUGCGACAGUACCACGGAUAGCAUGGCUUGAUCAGAAAUAGAUGCCCACCUCUCCUAGGCUGUCUGUUUGACCCCCAAAAGGACUGAUCCCCACCUGCCUCCGGGGACAUCUUUGCUACUUAGUAACGGCUUUCUCCCUGGGUGCUGCAGCAGGCCGCUCACUGGCAUUCACUGAGCACACGCUGUUGGUACUUUCUGAGGUACUGACUGGAUUGUGUCCUUCUCUGGGGGCCUCUGCCACGGCGUCCCCAGAACCCGAUACAGACACACCACAGAUAAGUUGAUAAACUCUGCCGACAGAGCUGGAAGCCCAUCGAAAGAAGACUGUGUCUUAUAUCCCAACAGAACGGCAGCGUCUAAAGUGUCCAUGGUGCUGGCAGGCCCGCUGCCCCUGACGGUGAUAGCGAAGGGAGCUGGAGAAGGAGGGUGGGUCACCCUGGAGGAGAAAGGAGCUUGGCCGAGUGGAAGUACUGGUAAAAACAUUCCCAGCAUUCCCAGCAUUCCCAGCACUUAAAACUCCAGCGGGCCGUGCCUGGGUCCUCUAUUGCACUCUGAAAGGCAGCAGCCCGCUUAACCAAGACUUAGACCCGUUGAGUAGGAAGGUGUCUGUGCUUGCGUUGGUCAUGUUUCUGAUUCCUGUGCCAAGAAGCCUGAGCAAAGCAACUCACGGAAGAAAGGAUCUACGUGGGCUCCCAGUUCCAGGGUUCAAUCCUUGCUGUCCAUUAGGACGGAGAUUCCUGUUUCUCAAUCUUACUGACAUGCAUGGAGGCUUGUCUCCCAGGCCAUUCUAGAUCCCGCCAAGUUGACAACCAGUAUCAACCAGGAGAGUAAUACUGUACACAAGGCUAAGCCCAAGCAACCAAGCGCACUCUGAGGACAUCUUAUGUGUCUAGAACCGUACUCAGAGAAAUGGGGUCCUGGAAGAAAGCGAAGACUCCUUAACCAUGACAUCGUGUCCCCUAACGGCUCUACAACCUCCUCUCUGGUCUCCGUGUGUGCCGCGUAGCUCCCAUUGGCACGGCGAGAGCCAUCUGAAAUAAUUCCUGGGGGUGUGCGUGUGACCUUACCGGGCCUGAGUUCCAUGGCCAUGGCUGUGAGAUGCAGAGGGAUGGAAGUGCCGUUUGGCCGGCAUCGCCAUUUGGCCGGCAUCCGUAGCAUUGUGGGCUGGGAGAAGGUAUGGGGAGAUCUCAAUUUAUCUGACUGGAAGUCGGAUUUCAAGCAUGAUCCGUGUCCGGCCUUUUCCAAGACUAACUGUAGCUCAGGGUCCAGGGCUGUUGGGAAUGGUGUAAAUCAACCUUAACAGAUGGUCACACUGUCCUCAGAAACCCUGCCUCAUACGAAUGGGAACUUAGUGUGUGGCAUUGCCCUGUGGUGGACCUCAAAGAGCAGCUGUAAGAGACCAGGGUCAUAGGCUCUCAAAUACAAGCUAUUUCUCUGCGGAGGGUAAAGGGCAUCCCUGAGCGCAUUAUUAGGGCCUGGCAUGCAGGUGGCGGCCUCGGGGGUAUAAUUCACAGACCUUCAGAAAAGCUUUGUCCUGUCAGUUGAGUACUGAGAAAUGCCGCCUUCUUGUAACAAUGAUCACCUGAUUAUUUUUAUGCUAGUGUGACAAGAUAAUGGCCGGAAUGGCUUAAGAGGAGGGAGGGUUUACUCUGGCUUCUGGUUCAGAGGGCUCCAUUUAUCGUGGAGGGUGAGAGAUAGCGCACCACCUUGGAUGACAGCAGCAGAAGUAUGUGACACAGGCUGUUGACAUCAUAGCGACCAGGAAGCCAAGAGUCAGGCAGGAAGGAGGGGCCAGGUAGAACUCGCAAGGCCUGCCUCUAGUGACCUCUUGCCGCUAGCCAGAGUUCCCAGACCCUCCCCAGUAGCGCCUGCUGUGGAGAAUGCCUGCGGGACAUGGGCUUGUGGGGGACAUCUCACAUCCAAACAUCAUGCAUGGUAAGCAGGUGGCUGCAGGCCCGUGGAUGUAAAUAGGGGAGAGUUUGUUUAGAGGUAGCAAAUCCUGUGAACAUACUCUGAAAGUUGGGUCACUUGGUGUCCCUGGGAAAAGAAAUCCCCAAGGUGGCCUCAAGCACUAAAUUUUUCAAUACAAUGUCGUUCAGUUCAUGGAUGGAAUGCCAAUUGGCAAAGAUGCAUAUGCAGCCUGUAAACCAACUGCCUCUGAGAGCUCUUGACAGUGAUUCUGAUCAUCAUGGUGGCUUAGCCAGCGGCAUCUAUGUGUCCCUGUGUCCCAUGUCCCAUGCUUGGUACCCAUGGCUCUUACGAGAGCCCUGAAGGUAGAUAUAAAUAUUCCCCUUUUUGAGGCACAUUUAUAUCCUCAGUAUUUAUGUCCUCACUGUUUCUGUCCUCAGUAUUUCUGUGGUCAGUGGAGAAAAACACCUGGGUUUUUCCUGGUUUUUCUUCCAGGAGACCAGAGCUUGUCUCCCAAUUUCAUACCAGGCCCUUCACAACCCACCCUAUGAAGUCUAGCUCCAAGGGAUCUGACAUCCUCUUCCGGUCUCUGUGGGUUCUGCACUCAAGCACACACAGACAAACACACACAACUGAAAACAAGUAUUGUUUCAAAACACUCGUGUCUAUAGGCAGGUCGUGGACACUGGAGGAGAGGUCUAGAAGUCCCUGGUCUUAACGGUGCUGCUCUGUCCCUGCUGCGGUCUUACAGUCCAGACGACUGAAGGUUCAAGAGCAAGGUGCAGCAGGGCCAGUCUCUUCUGUGGCCUCUCUCCUUGGUCCUCCUGCUGUUUCCUUGAUGUUUUUCUAUCGCUAUUCUUCCAUUCCUGGUGCCUCUCUAAGGAGCUAUCACGGUUAAUCUUGGCUGUCAACUUGAUUGACUGAAUCAAUGGCCAAAUAUAUGCCUGGGCAGGGUCUGGUGUGUGCAGGGGCUGGAUUUCUUAGGAAGAUAGCUCGAAGUGGGGAGACCCUCCAGAAUGGAGAGCAACUUUUGACAGUGGUCCAGUUAUAGGGGUCUGAAAAGAAGUCGGGUGUUUUUCAGUCUUCCAAGGAGGACCCAAGACCAACAGCUCGUCAGGAACUCCUAGGUCUGCUGUAGAAAGAGAUGUAAGUACCCACCUGUGGCGCCGACCACACCCUUUUGGGCAUGGUCACAGGUGCGUACAGGAGGGAAGGAUUUAGGUUGGCUCUGGGAGGCGCGCUCUCUCUCUUGCUGCUGGCCGGGUCACAGAAGACAGCCUGGGAGGAUCCUUGGAGCUGGAAGCUGGGGCAGCCACCCGCCUCUUAUGUAAGUAAGUGUUCUCUCUCUGAAUAAACUUUUCAACCUGU